GCAGCCGAGAGACUCCGAGCUUCUGGUCGCAGAAGAAGCGCACGUACGAGAGCAGCAGCCCGGCGGCGAGGAGCAGGGCUGCGGCCGCCAGCAGCUGCGUGUGCGCCAGGGACAGGACGGUGUCCGACUUCUUGUACAGAUGCUGCAGAGAAGAAAAAACAAUCCAAAACAAAGUGUCCCCUUCUGUAACUCAGUGAUAACUUCACCCUGUCCAACUGUGGAAGGGGAUGCUGCUGAAUCGUUUAUGCUAAUGAGAAGCGCGGACCGCCUCUGAUUGGUCGGCUGCGCGCCGCGCCCUCCCCGCGGCUCGUCCGUCCAAUCGGCGGCGACGCGGCGGUGAGCAGAGCUCACGCUAUCCGCCCAUUGGACGGCCGCGCCGGCGACGGGCACCCCCCGCGGCCGCUGAUUGGCCGGCGGGUGGAGCGGGAUGGUAGUAUGAUGUGAUGUCAACGGAAAGGUGAGCGCUUCAUUUAUUUAACUGGGCGGCGAAGAUGGGUCGUUGUUUGGACAGGAGUGAUCACUCUGAGGCGUAAAAUCCCUUAUGGCAAAAAAAGAAAAAGAAAAUCACAGCUGCCCUAGGGCUGUUGCCAUAGCGACAAAAGUUGUGCUUCCUUAAAUAAUCUUACUAUGCACAGUAUACAAAUCUGUGCUGCCUAACAGAUGGUCUGCAGAAAGUUACAUCUGUUCAGGUUCAUAAUAUUCUGGAUAAUACGGCUGAAUCACAGACAUAUUCAUGGUACCCAGCAAAAGGUGCAGAGUGAGAGAUCUUUCCAGUGCUCACUGUAAAAAGUCGAUAAAGUUUUUGUCUGUGUCAAAGUGUCUCUAGAGUCUUUAGUUACUUAGCAGUCAGCUUCAAAUACUGGGAAUGGUUUUUCAUACAAAGUAUAUAUUAGAUUAAUUAUGAGGAUCCAAACAUCUGGCACAUCAGUUAAAUCUGACAGGUGGAAGAAGAUGUGGUGAAAAGAAUUUGACCCAUUCGCACAUUUUAUUUUUAAAUAAAAACCUACUGGCAAUCACUUCUAGCUUUGAUUAUGGAAAUGCUCAAAAUUGAACAAGAAGUUAACGCCCCCCCCCCCCCCCCCCCCCCACAAAAAAAAGUAUAUUUCUUUGGGAAAAGAAUCACAUGAACUAAGUCCAGUAACAGAAAAAAAACACGCUAUGAUACGAUCCCAUGAUGUUUUAUUACAUAAUCAUGUUUUCACAUUAGUCAUCAGCCAAUAUGAAUAUUGCCUUGUUACAUCAAACGCAGGGUGACACUUUCAUCGCACCAGUGAUGAAUAUUGACACGCAAACAUUUUAAAAAUGUUACAUUGAAUUAGUCCAUAACUCAGAUACUGAGACAUUCCAUCUCCACACAGUGUCUCUAGUUACACUUCCUUAUAGUUGGAGUGCAAUAAUUGUAAAUCCCAGUGGGAUGAAUCUAGUGCUCUACAUGUUUUAAUAUGUGUGUUUCAUCUCCACAACUUUUGUUUGAGGUCAAAGGUCAUUCGCAAACACAGGAAGGCCAGGUUUUUUUUAUUAUAUGUAGUGGUUGAAGAUAGAUUCAUAUUUUUCUUGCUUCCCUGAUGAGACACUGGGUUCACCAUUCUGCCUGACGAAGGCCUGAAAUAAUAAAAAAAUAAACCUUU
Molecule: long non-coding RNA, 1628 nt
Organism: Scophthalmus maximus (turbot)
Lineage: Eukaryota; Metazoa; Chordata; Actinopteri; Pleuronectiformes; Scophthalmidae
Exons: 2
Source: RefSeq, a predicted model, not a curated record